Molecule: ribosomal RNA, 459 nt
Filed under: Veillonella dispar
Lineage: Bacteria; Bacillati; Bacillota; Negativicutes; Veillonellales; Veillonellaceae
Description: bacterial SSU rRNA
Rfam family: Bacterial small subunit ribosomal RNA
Source: RNAcentral
GACGAACGCUGGCGGCGUGCUUAACACAUGCAAGUCGAACGAAGAGCGAUGGAAGCUUGCUUCUAUCAAUCUUAGUGGCGAACGGGUGAGUGACGCGUAAUCAACCUGCCCUUCAGAGGGGGACAACAGUUGGAAACGACUGCUAAUACCGCAUACGAUCUAAUCUCGGCAUCGAGGAAAGAUGAAAGGUGGCCUCUAUUUAUAAGCUAUCACUGAAGGGGGGGAUUGCGUCUGAUUAGCUAGUUGGAGGGGUAACGGCCCACCAAGGCGAUGAUCAGUAGCCGGUCUGAGAGGAUGAACGGCCACAUUGGGACUGAGACACGGCCCAGACUCCUACGGGAGGCAGCAGUGGGGAAUCUUCCGCAAUGGACGAAAGUCUGACGGAGCAACGCCGCGUGAGUGAUGACGGCCUUCGGGUUGUAAAGCUCUGUUAAUCGGGACGAAAGGCCUUCUUGCGAA